This is a long non-coding RNA of Oreochromis niloticus (Nile tilapia), 506 nucleotides long. RefSeq lists it as uncharacterized. NCBI's taxonomy places the organism in Eukaryota, Metazoa, Chordata, Actinopteri, Cichliformes, Cichlidae. The record is from RefSeq and is a predicted model, not a curated record. The transcript is spliced from 2 exons.
UCUUGUUUUCCUGCCCAUUUUCCUCAAGAGAAGAUGCAACAGAGGUUUUCCUGAAGUGCUUAGACACUGACAUUUUGGAACCAGUGUUGAACGGUGCAUCAGUUGCCAUCCUCACCAUCCUACAAGAUGACGAUGCUGAUACGUCUGUGCGAGAACAUGCAGUUGUGUUGGAAGGGGACAUUGUGCUACAUAACAUUCCAGAUCUCUCUACUGCCCUGGCACACCUCUUUGGCCUUCUGUAUGCCCUCAACAUUGAUUAUCCAAAGCAGAUGAGUUUUACCUUUGAAGCAAUUCAGGCCAUCUUAUUUUGGCCUGGUCGGACAAUAUGAAGGUGAAGUGGAUAAAUCAUUAUUCGAAAUGUAAAUUUUAGUCAGAUGAAUCUGUAUUGUUGAGAAUAUAUGGUGAAAAUUUGUCUUGUAGUAUUUUAAAAGAUUUGUUAUAGUGUUAGUUUCCUCUUCAUUGAUGGUAACAUUUCUAAGAACUUUUAACUUCCAUAGUUCAUCAUA